This 42-nucleotide non-coding RNA is filed under the name Beauveria bassiana. RNAcentral's name for it is "Guanidine-II sequence". It matches the Rfam family "Guanidine-II riboswitch aptamer (mini-ykkC)". From Rfam's summary of the family: Simpler in structure and has fewer highly conserved nucleotide positions than the ykkC-yxkD leader. Despite this each of its two stem-loop structures directly bind free guanidine. The record is from RNAcentral. RNAcentral also lists the same sequence under 1 other name. Lineage: Eukaryota; Fungi; Ascomycota; Sordariomycetes; Hypocreales; Cordycipitaceae.
UGGCCGGGACGGCCCGGCCAGGCAAUGGAAAAGGACGGCCUU